Molecule: ribosomal RNA, 253 nt
Filed under: uncultured bacterium
Lineage: Bacteria
Description: partial 16S ribosomal RNA
Rfam family: Bacterial small subunit ribosomal RNA
Source: RNAcentral
UACGGGGGGGGCAAGCGUUGUUCGGAAUUACUGGGCUUAAAGGGCUCGUAGGCGGCCAACUAAGUCAGACGUGAAAUCCCUCGGCUUAACCGGGGAACUGCAUCUGAUACUGGAUGGCUUGAGUUCGGGAGAGGGAUGCGGAAUUCCAGGUGUAGCGGUGAAAUGCGUAGAUAUCUGGAGGAACACCGGUGGCGAAGGCGGCAUCCUGGACCGACACUGACGCUGAGGAGCGAAAGCCAGGGGAGCAAACGGG